UGCCGUGAAAUGAGCAAAUUGAAAGUGAAGU
This 31-nucleotide non-coding RNA is filed under the name Homo sapiens (human). The record is from RNAcentral. Lineage: Eukaryota; Metazoa; Chordata; Mammalia; Primates; Hominidae.